GCGAAAGUGGCGGAAUUGGCAGACGCGCAGGAUUCAGGAUCCUGUGGGGUAAAACCCGUGGGGGUUCAAGUCCCCCCUUUCGCA
Molecule: transfer RNA, 84 nt
Filed under: Hyphomicrobium sp.
Lineage: Bacteria; Pseudomonadati; Pseudomonadota; Alphaproteobacteria; Hyphomicrobiales; Hyphomicrobiaceae
Also listed under: 5 other names
Description: tRNA-Leu
Rfam family: tRNA
About the family: Transfer RNA (tRNA) molecules are approximately 80 nucleotides in length. Their secondary structure includes four short double-helical elements and three loops (D, anti-codon, and T loops).
Source: RNAcentral